RNAcentral lists this ribosomal RNA (719 nucleotides) under Vibrionaceae bacterium GUDS1246. Its description in RNAcentral is "bacterial SSU rRNA". It matches the Rfam family "Bacterial small subunit ribosomal RNA", at positions 56 to 754 of the family's 1533-position model. The record is from RNAcentral. Lineage: Bacteria; Pseudomonadati; Pseudomonadota; Gammaproteobacteria; Vibrionales; Vibrionaceae.
UGCAAGUCGAGCGGAACGAGUUGUCUGAACCUUCGGGGAACGAUAACGGCGUCGAGCGGCGGACGGGUGAGUAAUGCCUGGGAAAUUGCCCUGAUGUGGGGGAUAACCAUUGGAAACGAUGGCUAAUACCGCAUAAUAGCUUCGGCUCAAAGAGGGGGACCUUCGGGCCUCUCGCGUCAGGAUAUGCCCAGGUGGGAUUAGCUAGUUGGUGAGGUAAUGGCUCACCAAGGCGACGAUCCCUAGCUGGUCUGAGAGGAUGAUCAGCCACACUGGAACUGAGACACGGUCCAGACUCCUACGGGAGGCAGCAGUGGGGAAUAUUGCACAAUGGGCGCAAGCCUGAUGCAGCCAUGCCGCGUGUAUGAAGAAGGCCUUCGGGUUGUAAAGUACUUUCAGCAGUGAGGAAGGUGGUAGUGUUAAUAGCACUAUCAUUUGACGUUAGCUGCAGAAGAAGCACCGGCUAACUCCGUGCCAGCAGCCGCGGUAAUACGGAGGGUGCGAGCGUUAAUCGGAAUUACUGGGCGUAAAGCGCAUGCAGGUGGUUUGUUAAGUCAGAUGUGAAAGCCCGGGGCUCAACCUCGGAAUAGCAUUUGAAACUGGCAGACUAGAGUACUGUAGAGGGGGGGUAGAAUUUCAGGUGUAGCGGUGAAAUGCGUAGAGAUCUGAAGGAAUACCGGUGGCGAAGGCGGCCCCCUGGACAGAUACUGACACUCAGAUGC